UGAUACAUUUACUCCACUUCAUUCAUCUAUAUAUGUCCAAUCUUGGCAAUGCGCGGAAGCAUUACUGAAGGAAUGUGCUGAUCCAAAUGGUGGAUCAGAUGGAACAAGAGCUCUGCCACUAGCAGCUGUAAUGGGGGUAGUAAAAAUCAUCAGGCUGGUGCAGAUCCAUAUGUUACAAAUAUACACGGACUAAAGCCAAUUGAAGUCUCAGCUUAUAAAGAUAAUCGCCGAGGUGUUGAAAUUCUUUUUCCUGUGACUUCUCCUUUUCCUUCAUAUGUUGAGUGGAGAGUAAAUGGAACAAUUGAAGCAUGCAAAUUCUAAGGAGU
This is a long non-coding RNA of Papaver somniferum (opium poppy), 326 nucleotides long. RefSeq lists it as uncharacterized. The transcript has 3 exons. Lineage: Eukaryota; Viridiplantae; Streptophyta; Magnoliopsida; Ranunculales; Papaveraceae. The record is from RefSeq and is a predicted model, not a curated record.